This 180-nucleotide ribosomal RNA is filed under the name uncultured Glomeromycotina. RNAcentral describes it as "partial small subunit ribosomal RNA". The stretch from base 92 to 180 matches the Rfam family "Eukaryotic small subunit ribosomal RNA", at positions 736 to 827 of the family's 1831-position model. Lineage: Eukaryota; Fungi; Glomeromycota. The record is from RNAcentral.
GACCUGGUCGGGCGGUCUUGCCUCAAGGUAAGCACUGCUCUUGGUCGGGUCUUUCCUUCUGGGGAACCAGCGUGCGCUUAAUUGAGUGCGCUGGGGAUCCAGGACUUUUACUUUGAAAAAAUUAGAGUGUUUAAAGCAGGCAUACGCUUGAAUACAUUAGCAUGGAAUAAUAGAAUAGGA